UGUGUGUGUGUGUGUGUGUGUGUGUGAAUGCAUGCAUGAACGUGUAUGUGCACACACACACACACGCACAC
Molecule: microRNA precursor, 71 nt
Filed under: Mustela putorius furo (domestic ferret)
Lineage: Eukaryota; Metazoa; Chordata; Mammalia; Carnivora; Mustelidae
Description: miRNA (ENSMPUG00000021714.1)
Source: RNAcentral